UCCGAAUCGGAAUAUUUUUCCUAGCGGAUGCGCAGUGGCUUUCUGGACUAUCACGCAAGUUGAAAUUAUGGUAUCAUUAAAAUCUUGAUCAAUAUGGUUGUUUCAACUAAGGAAAAAUUGGAGUCAUCUUCAUAAUAUGCUUCUAAAAAUGUAUUUUAUUGUGGCAUUUUAAUUCCCAAAAAAUAUUAUAAUUAAAUAUUCCAGUCAACAGCCAUUAUCUCGUGGAAUUUUCAGAACCAAGGUCGAUUUCCUUGAAAGUUCGGAUUUAGGUAGUAAUUAUAACCUUUGUUAAAAUCUACCCUACGCCGAAGCGGACUUUUGCGUUGGGGUGAAAACAGCCCCAUCUAGGGGAUAAAAAUUUUUUCAAUCAAAAUAACUAUGGAAGUCGAUAGAUCGACCAAUUCUGAGUAAAUUUUGCUGUAUAAAUUUUUUUGCAAAGUUGAUGAAUGGAACAAUUUAGUACAAAUUGUCGGAUACGCAGAUGACAUAGACGUAAUAGGUAGAUCCACAGAAUAUCUGACUGAAGCAUUUCGGUCGUUAAGAGCAUCUGCACAGAAAAUGGGACUAAAUAUAAAUGUUCAGAAGUUCAGAAGACCAAGCACUAGGUCAAGCAACCCGACACCUACAAGAAUAAUAAUUGACGACCUAGAACUGAAUAUUGAAGAUGAAUAGUGCUCGCCAAUAAGUGUUGCUAUUUAAGAAGACAGAUGGCCUCAAAAAUAUCUAUAAAAAUUAAAUUGACUGUCUACAAAACGCUAAUAAGACCAGUGCUAACAUAUGGUUCAGAAACUUCGUCACUUACACAGAAUGACCAAGAACUGCUCAAAUGUUUUGAGCGAAAAAUUCUAAGACGAAUAUAUGGAGGCAUAAAAGAACAAUGUUUGUGGCGCAGGCGUUACAACUUUGAAUUGUAUAGAUUUUUUUAUGAACCUGACGUAAAAUUCUUUAAGGUAGCAUGCCUUAGAUGGAUAAGGUCAUGUAAUCAGGCGAGAGGAAGAUGCCAUAGUCAGAAAAGUUUUUGACCGAAGAGGGCCGAUAGGACAACGAACAAGAGGAAGACCGAGACUUAGGUACCAAGACAACUUAGAAAAUGAUUUAAAAUCUAUUGGAAUUAGAGCAUGGAGAAGAGUUGUCAGAGACAGGGGCGAAUGGAGGAUUGUUCUGAAGAGGCUUUGGCUCAUAAAGAGCUGUAACGCCACUGAUGAGGAUGAUGAAAUCAGGGUAAUUAUUCAAAGUAAUUAAUUUCUAACCGUUUUUUUUUAAACGUUUGUGUAUGUGAACAGCAUUCUGAUAUUUCGAUAAAAGAACUAAACGUGAUUUUAGAUAACAACUUUUUUUUUGUUUAUUGGUAUUGGGAAGAACCCGUUUUGCCACGAAAAUUUAUAACAUUUGGAAGUCUAUACAUAUAACUGAACACAAUUUGUUACAAAUACAAUUUUUACAAAUCUAUACAUAUAAAUACAGUAACUGAAUACAAUUAUUUGGUACAAAUACAAUUUUUACAAAUCUAUACAUAUAAAUUUAAUACCUAACUGAAUACAAUUUGGAUUGGAUGAUACAGACCUAAAAGUUGAGGAAAUUAUAAGCGUCUCCUCGUACGGCCCAAGAAGUUAUAAAAAAUAGCUCUUACCUCGGGAUUAUGGAGUCAUCCAGCAUAAUAGAAAGAUAAUUUUGGGGAAACGGGAUUUUUAGUUUAGUUAGUUCCGUAAUAAGGUAAGGGGUGUCGUUAGAAUUAUGACUCCAUUGAAAAAUCCAGUGAUUAAAGUCGUCAAAACUGUCACUGCAAUCACAGGGGGAUGUGGCCAAUUUCAUCUUAUGAAGCUUGGAGUUGACUGCUCCGUGUCCGAAGAGGCACCUGAUGUAUUUGGUGUGACUGGAUUGGGAUUGGGAUGACUUCUUUUAGCAAACUUUGUAGAAGGAAGUGUUGGAAAGAGCGUGCAGUACUGAAAUGCAUUGUUAGAUCUAAUUAUUGUCCAUUUGCCUGCCCAUUUAGUUCUUAAGUUUUGCUUACAGAUAGAUAAUGCGUCUUGUAGCGUUAAUUCGGGGGCUUGUUCGCCAUCAAUAAUAGCUCUUUUUGCCUGUUUGUCAGCUGUUUCGUUUCCUGUGAUGGAGAAAUGCCCGUUGGCCCAUAUGAAGAAUGUAUUUACCUGUUUAGAAUCUAAGGCUCUUAAGGUUGUCAAAAUUUCCACGAUUAUUGAGUUAUUGUAUAGGGAGGUAACGGGGUCCACCAGAGCUGAUAAAACAAAUUUCGAAUCCGAUAUUAUAGCCAAGUUUGACAAGGGUAGCAGUGAAUUGUUUGCCCAAUCCAAAGCCUUAAAUAUAGCAAGUGCCUCUGCUGUAAAUAUUGUAGAGUUUUUGUUUAGUUUAAACAACAAACUUUCGUUUGUGUUUUCCCUGUACACUGCACAUCAUGUUCCAGUAGGGGAUUGUUUUAAUCCUAAUAGGGGACUUUUAAUCGUCAAAGUUAUAUUCAAGUAAUAUUGUUAACUGUAAUACUGAAUGCACGGAUUUGUACCUACAUGUUUUGUUACAGCUUUGUACACUGAAUUAUCUCAUGAUAUUACUGGCAUUCUAUCAAACGGUGGCUUCCGAAUAACCUUUGUGCGAUUUAAAGUGUUAGAUAAUAGCGUGUGUGUGGAAAAAACGCGAAUUGAUGCCAAUGUUGCCAAAACUCAUCCCACGCAAAGCACCAAUUCACGUGCCAGAAAGAAUGUUGUUGCAAGGCAAUUUUCAAAAAUACGCAAAAACGUGAAUUAGGUUUUUUUACGUUACUGUAUUGUUUGUUUUUAGAUUUGAUGAUUUAUGAACUUAUUUUUUAUCAAAUAUGAGACAAAAUUAAUUUUGUUUUUGGUUAUUUUAAAUUUUCAUAAAUUUUCAAACCUAAGGUGAUUUUCCUGUUGGAUUCCAUAUAUUCAUAUUGUAAUUUAUUAUUCUAACUGCGAAGUAAGCCACAAUUUAAAUUUAAGGCACCCAAAGUCCCAUUUAACGACAAUGUCACAGUAUAGGAGGAAUCAGUAAGCUCACUCCCCGAAAAAUGCAUUGUUUUCAAUGUUCCAAUUUGGCGAAUCUGCGCAAAGUCGUCCAAAAUUCGUUUCACCGUGCGCAUCCGAUGAGAGCGGAUACGUUUGCCGAUUGGUCGUGACCGCCAUCUGAUUUUCAUGAAUUUUGUGAGGUUGUGUUUGGGAAUUGUUUGUUGUUUUGGUUAAUUUACCAAUUUAUUUUCAUACAUUUUUCAUAUUAAUAAUAGGUAGUUAUGUAUAUUAUGUACUGUGAAUGUGAUAUUAUUUUCUUAAAUCAAUCAAAUGGAGAUGAAGCAAGCAGAAAACAAUUUUUACAAGGAACAAUGUAAAAUUAAAAUCGAAAGUUCUGGACAACCUGUGUGAUGCUGUAAUAAUUAUGUUCCUAUUCUGUUAAAACUGAGAUAGAGAGUCUUUAAAACUGAUAAAAAUAGUUAUUUCUAUGAUGGAAAUUCUUUGGACCAAAUAAAUAGAGAAGUUAUUAUUGAAGACAUCAAAUAAAAGGAGGAAAAUUUAUGUGAAAAAUGAUUUUCAUAAUAAAAGAAGAACUGACGUUAUUAUGAAACCAGUGUAUGGACGGUGUGUUUUACUGACUUAAAGCAAGAGUACCUUUUAUACUUGAAUUUGUCACAUUUUUUAAUUUCAUAAUUUUAUUUAUGUAAGUUGUGAUUGUAAAAAUAUUGUUAAGUUGUAUUCAUAGUUCUCUACUUGUUCUUUUGAAGUACUGUUUUUAUUAUAAUUGGUAUUGUAAAGUUGAAAUCCUCAAAUCAAAAUAUAAUUUAUAAUUCGAA
Diabrotica virgifera virgifera (western corn rootworm) is the source of this 3808-nucleotide long non-coding RNA. RefSeq lists it as uncharacterized. The transcript is spliced from 2 exons. Lineage: Eukaryota; Metazoa; Arthropoda; Insecta; Coleoptera; Chrysomelidae. The record is from RefSeq and is a predicted model, not a curated record.